CCUACGGGUGGCUGCAGUCGAGAAUCAUUCACAAUGGGGGAAACCCUGAUGGUGCGACGCCGCGUGGGGGAAUGAAGGUCUUCGGAUUGUAAACCCCUGUCAUGUGGGAGCAAAUUAAAACGAUCGUACCACAAGAGGAAGAGACGGCUAACUCUGUUCCAGCAGCCGCGGUAAUACAGAGGUCUCAAGCGUUGUUCGGAAUCACUGGGCGUAAGGCGUGCGUAGGCUGUUUCGUAAGUCGUGUGUGAAAGGCGCGGGCUCAACCCGCGGACGGCACAUGAUACUGCGAGACUAGAGUAAUGGAGGGGGAACCGGAAUUCUCGGUGUAGCAGUGAAAUGCGUAGAUAUCGAGAGGAACACUCGUGGCGAAGGCGGGUUCCUGGACAUUAACUGACGCUGAGGCACGAAGGCCAGGGGAGCGAAAGGGAUUAGAUACCCGGGUAGUC
RNAcentral lists this ribosomal RNA (446 nucleotides) under uncultured bacterium. Its description in RNAcentral is "partial 16S ribosomal RNA". It matches the Rfam family "Bacterial small subunit ribosomal RNA", at positions 338 to 795 of the family's 1533-position model. The record is from RNAcentral.